GGGGAACCAGGACUUUUACUGUGAAAAAAUUAGAGUGCUCCAGGCAGGCCUAUGCUCGAAUACAUUAGCAUGGAAUAAUAGAAUAGGACGUGUGGUUCUAUUUUGUUGGUUUCUAGGACCGCCGUAAUGAUUAAUAGGGACAGUCGGGGGCAUCAGUAUUCAAUUGUCAGAGGUGAAAUUCUUGGAUUUAUUGAAGACUAACUACUGCGAAAGCAUUUGCCAAGGAUGUUUUCAUUAAUCAGGAACGAAAGUUAGGGGAUCGAAGACGAUCAGAUACCGUCGUAGUCUUAACCAUAAACUAUGCCGACUAGGGAUCGGACGGUGUUAUUUUUUGACCCGUUCGGCACCUUACGAGAAAUCAAAGUGCUUGGGCUCCAGGGGGAGUAUGGUCGCAAGGCUGAAACUUAAAGAAAUUGACGGAAGGGCACCACCAGGGGUGGAGCCUGCGGCUUAAUUUGACUCAACACGGGGAAACUCACCAGGUCCAGACACAAUGAGGAUUGACAGAUUGAGAGCUCUUUCUUGAUUUUGUGGGUGGUGGUGCAUGGCCGUUCUUAGUUGGUGGAGUGAUUUGUCUGCUUAAUCGCGAUAACGAACGAGACCU
RNAcentral lists this ribosomal RNA (604 nucleotides) under uncultured Hypocreales. RNAcentral describes it as "SSU rRNA". It matches the Rfam family "Eukaryotic small subunit ribosomal RNA", at positions 737 to 1343 of the family's 1831-position model. The record is from RNAcentral. Lineage: Eukaryota; Fungi; Ascomycota; Sordariomycetes; Hypocreales.